Molecule: unclassified non-coding RNA, 168 nt
Filed under: uncultured Helotiales
Lineage: Eukaryota; Fungi; Ascomycota; Leotiomycetes; Helotiales
Description: sequence contains ITS1
Source: RNAcentral
CAGAGUUCAUGCCCUUACGGGUAGAUGUCCCACCCUAUGUUAUCAUUACCUUUGUUGCUUUGGCGGGCCGCCAGGCCUUGGUCAGGCUACCGGCUCCGGCUGGUAAGCGCCCGCCAGAGGACCCCAAACUCUGAAUGUCAGUGUUGUCUCAGUACUAUAUAAUAGUUA